RNAcentral lists this ribosomal RNA (494 nucleotides) under uncultured bacterium. RNAcentral's name for it is "bacterial SSU rRNA". It matches the Rfam family "Bacterial small subunit ribosomal RNA", at positions 33 to 507 of the family's 1533-position model. The record is from RNAcentral.
CGGACGACGCUGGCGGCGUGGAUUAGGCAUGCAAGUCGGACGGUAGGGCUUUAUCGUAAGAUAGAGUUUGAGAGUGGCGAACGGGUGAGUAACACGUAGGUUAUCUACCCUCAAGACGGGGACAACCCAGGGAAACUUGGGCUAAUACCGGAUGUGAGCAACUUUUAGUUGUUUGAAAGGUGGCGUAAGCUGUCGCUUGGGGAUGAGCCUGCGUCCUAUUAGUUAGUUGGUGAGGUAACGGCUCACCUAGGCAAUGAUAGGUAGGCGGCCUUAACGGGUGGUCGCCCACACUGGGAUUGAGAUACGGCCCAGACUCCUACGGGAGGCAGCAGUCGAGAAUAGUCUACAAUGGUCGGAAGACUGAUAGUGCGACGCCGCGUGAACGAUGAAUCCCUUCGGGGUGUAAAGUUCUUUUAUAUGUGAGCAGUGCUUCUUAUAUUAACAGUAUGGGGAGAGAGAUAUUAGCAUAUGAAUAAGCAACGGCUAACUCCGUG